GGAUCUGCUCCAUGAUCUUGCUGGGCACCAAUCCAGUAGGAACUUCACCAGACUCCCAUGACUUCUCAAAUAUGUGGCUGAGCCACUUCAUCUGCCAGUUCCUCAGGACUUGAAGAUGCAUCCCAUUUGGUUGCAUGGACUUGUGCACCUUAUGGAAUUCAAGAGGUACCCAACUGAAAUGAAUAUUUUUGAAGGAGUAGUGAAUGUGAAAAAGGCUAACUGAAUUGGCUCUUUGGUUAAAGAAAACUGUCUCCAUAGCUCGCCUUUAGGCAGCAGACACACAUUUACCUCUCUGCCUUGCUGCAAAUGAAGUAAGGAGUGUGGCUGAAUGAGGUAAGCACUGGACUACUGUGCUGCUCCUUGUCUUUUGCU
Molecule: long non-coding RNA, 372 nt
Organism: Pezoporus flaviventris
Lineage: Eukaryota; Metazoa; Chordata; Aves; Psittaciformes; Psittacidae
Exons: 3
Source: RefSeq, a predicted model, not a curated record